RNAcentral lists this transfer RNA (68 nucleotides) under Luciola parvula. Its description in RNAcentral is "tRNA-Trp". Lineage: Eukaryota; Metazoa; Arthropoda; Insecta; Coleoptera; Lampyridae. The record is from RNAcentral.
AAGGAUUUAAGUUAACAUAAACUAACAACCUUCAAAGUUGUAAACAGAGUAAACCCCUUUAAGCCUUA